GCAUAACGCGAAGAACCUUACCAACCCUUGACAUCCUGUGCUACAUCCGGAGACGGAUGGUUCCUUUCGGGGACGCAGAGACAGGUGCUGCAUGGCUGUCGUCAGCUCGUGUCGUGAGAUGUUCGGUUAAGUCCGGCAACGAGCGCAACCCACACUUCCAGUUGCCAGCAUUCAGUUGGGCACUCUGGAGGAACUGCCGAUGAUAAGUCGGAGGAAGGUGUGGAUGACGUCAAGUCCUCAUGGCCCUUACGGGUUGGGCUACACACGUGCUACAAUGGUGGUGACAAUGGGAUAAUCCCUAAAAGCCAUCUCAGUUCGGAUUGGGGUCUGCAACUCGACCCCAUGAAGUCGGAAUCGCUAGUAAUCGCGUAACAGCAUGACGCGGUGAAUACGUUCCCGGGUCUUGUACACACCG
This 415-nucleotide ribosomal RNA is filed under the name uncultured bacterium. RNAcentral's name for it is "bacterial SSU rRNA". It matches the Rfam family "Bacterial small subunit ribosomal RNA", at positions 954 to 1392 of the family's 1533-position model. The record is from RNAcentral.